CGAGUAACACAUAUUUAACUUGCUCAUCCGAGGAGAAUAGCAGCCCGAAAGGGCUAUUAAUACGCCAUAGCUUUAAAUUAGUGAAUUAAUUUAAAUUAAAGGAGGCUGCCGAAAGGUGGCCUCGCGGAUGAAUAGGAAUAUGUCCUAUUAGGUCGUUGGAGAGGUAAUGGCUCACCAAGCCGAUGAUGGGUAGCUGGACUGAGAGGUUGAACAGCCGCAAUGGGAUUGAGAAAUGGCCCAUAUUCCUACGGGAAGCAGCAGUGAGGAAUUUUUCACAAUGGACGAAAGUCUGAUGGAGCAAUACCACGUGAACGAUGAAGGUCUUCUGAUUGUAAAGUUCUUUUAUUUAGGAAAAAAAGCGCGGCAGGAAAUGGCCGCGCCUUGAUUGUACUAAUUGAAUAAGUGACAGCUAACUAUGUGCCAGCAGCUGCGGUAAAACAUAGGUCACGAGCAUUAUCCGGAUUUAUUGGGCGUAAAGGAAGCGUAGGCUGAAAUGUGUAUUCAUUGUUAAAAAUAUUUGCUUAACAAGUGUUCGCGGUGAAGAUUACAUUUCUAGAAUUAGUUAGAGGGUACUGGAAUUCAAUGUGUAGUGGUGGAAUACGUAGAUAUAUUGAGGAACACCAGAGGCUAAGGCGAGUGCCUGGAACAUAAUUGACGCUGAGGCUUGAAAGCGUGGGUAGCAAAUGGGAUUAGAUACCCCAGUAGUCCACGCCGUAAACGAUGGGUAUUAGUCAUUUGGAUUUAAGACUGAGUGAUGUAGCUAACGCGUUAAAUACCCCGCCUGGGUAGUAUAUAUGCAAAUAUGAA
Molecule: ribosomal RNA, 807 nt
Filed under: uncultured Mycoplasma sp.
Lineage: Bacteria; Bacillati; Mycoplasmatota; Mollicutes; Mycoplasmatales; Mycoplasmataceae
Description: bacterial SSU rRNA
Rfam family: Bacterial small subunit ribosomal RNA
Source: RNAcentral